AUCCUGGCUCAGGACGAACGCUGGCGGCGUGCUUAACACAUGCAAGUCGAACGGUGAUGGCCAGCUUGCUGGUCUGAUCAGUGGCGAACGGGUGAGUAACACGUGAGUAACCUGCCCCUGACUCUGGGAUAACUACCGGAAACGGUGGCUAAUACCGGAUAUGAGGUGCCUGGACAUCUGGGCGCCUGGAAAGUUUUUCGGUCAGGGAUGGGCUCGCGGCCUAUCAGCUUGUUGGUGGGGUGAUGGCCUACCAAGGCGACGACGGGUAGCCGGCCUGAGAGGGCGACCGGCCACACUGGGACUGAGACACGGCCCAGACUCCUACGGGAGGCAGCAGUGGGGAAUAUUGCACAAUGGGCGCAAGCCUGAUGCAGCGACGCCGCGUGCGGGAUGACGGCCUUCGGGUUGUAAACCGCUUUCAGCAGGGAAGAAGCGCAAGUGACGGUACCUGCAGAAGAAGCGCCGGCUAACUACGUGCCAGCAGCCGCGGUAAUACGUAGGGCGCAAGCGUUGUCCGGAAUUAUUGGGCGUAAAGAGCUCGUAGGCGGUUUGUCGCGUCUGCUGUGAAAUCCUCAGGCUCAACCUGGGGCUUGCAGUGGGUACGGGCAGACUAGAGUGCGGUAGGGGUGACUGGAAUUCCUGGUGUAGCGGUGGAAUGCGCAGAUAUCAGGAGGAACACC
Molecule: ribosomal RNA, 680 nt
Filed under: uncultured Cellulomonas sp.
Lineage: Bacteria; Bacillati; Actinomycetota; Actinomycetes; Micrococcales; Cellulomonadaceae
Description: bacterial SSU rRNA
Rfam family: Bacterial small subunit ribosomal RNA
Source: RNAcentral